AUCCCAUCCCUGUUGCUAAGUGAAAUAUCACAUGAUUGCAACUGUUCUUAUGACAUUACUUCAACUUUCCUUUGCUUUACAGAUUUGAGAAGGUCGUAAUUGAAGGCAUCAGUCAUAAGGUUACUUUUCAUCAUUGUUCCAACUGCAAAUAGUUACUGUCCAAGGGAGUUACUAAACAAGGACUCCUGUAGACCACCGUGAUAUGGAUGCAAUGAGCAGUUUGCUUGCUUGUCUUAACAACAAUUGAAAGUUCCUAUGGACUCUCAUUAUAAGAGUGUAAAUAUGAUGUAAUCAGGGCAUAGGUUACCAUAGCCAGGUUGGACCAUUUGAAUAAAACCUAAUUAGAGGGAGUUGUGUAAACAUGCACUUUGUCUCCACCUUCAUUGGAAAUCUGAGGACAGAAAAUGAUCAAAGAGAACUCCCAUUAUUGCAAUAGGAAGAGAAAUGCACUUGCUUGGGAUGAAAAUCACAUAAAAACAUGAUACAACAUUUCAUCAACGAGCAUCCAUCAGCAAAAAAAUACAUGGAGACUUCUGGAAAUUGGAACUUUCUGACAAACAAGAAGUUAGAGGUCCAAGGAUAUGGAGAGAGAAAGAAAGAGAAACUAAAAUUGGUGUUUUGGAGAUUGUGCCAAGGUCCACGGUGCAGUUCUCCUCCUCCUCCAAGUUCUUCUCAAGUUUGACAUCCUUCUUGCUGCCCCUUCAGUUGGACUCCAAGAGGAGAAGGGAUCUGGGCUUGAGACCAUCUCUGAAAAGAAGCUAGAUUUGCAGAAAGAAUUUAGCAUGAGCCUAAAACUCUCACGGCAGCUUCUUCGCAAAACAAAGGCUCUUACAAGAUCUUACCUUUUGGUCCGUUUACCUGGAGUUGAGGUCCCUCUUAUUUCCCACUUGAGGCAUCUUCCCUCAGACAGCCUUGAUUUUCAGACAUGGAGCUCUCUUUCAGAUGCCAAACGAUUGUCACAGAUAGCCAAGACCAUUUCAUUUUAUCACAAGUUAGUACAACAACUGACAAACUUUGAAGCAAUCAAAGAAAAUUCCAAAUUCUCCUCUCAGUUUGAAGGUAUCGAUAUUGACCUCCGAGAUCUUGGUUAUCAAGUGGAUUACCAGAUUAAAUCUGGGGGCCUAUCAUCUGAUAUCCAGCCUAUAUCAACUCCUCAGAUCCUUCAACACCACAGGCAGUGGACGAACCGCCAAGAAGUAUAUAUUGUCCUUCGUUCUCUUGAAAGCUUCCUGCUUCGGGUUGCACGAGAUUUUUGGAUGCUCAGGAUGAGGAUGUCUAAAGUGGCUUCACCUUCCAAGAUUUUCUAAUCUUAACAUUUCCUGUUUUAAACUCCAUCACCUGAUUCCAAACAACUAAGGAAUACUGACAUCCUGGUAUCUCGGUGUUCAUGCUGUUCUUUAAAUUAUCUAAAAUAUCUAAUUUAUAUAUCUAUUUAUUUUUUCUAAAUAUUUUAUUAUUUUAACUUAUUUGUUAAAGCAGUGUUUUGGCCAGUUCACAUAUACAACUGUUCAGUGAAUGCACUUUCUCAUGACAAUGUAAAAGUUAUUGUUUUUUAAAGGUCAGAAAGAAUUGCCAGCUAGUUUGCAGGGAAUUUUAAAUAUUGUGUUUAUCCAUAAAAAUAUGGAUGGCUACUAUUUUAUCUGUUUUUUUAAAAUGGCUAGUUACUCAAAUGGGCCAGAGAAUUUUGAAGGUAUCUACAGAAAGAUAUACAGUAUAAAUGUAUAAUCCCAAUGGAUUAUGGAGAAACUAUUUUUUAAUUUUCUAAAACAGAUCUGAGUAAAUGUGCAUAUGGUAUAAAAUAUAUGUUUUGAGUGAUACUGCC
This 1822-nucleotide long non-coding RNA is filed under the name Notechis scutatus (mainland tiger snake). Its description in RNAcentral is "lncRNA (ENSNSUG00000006654.1)". Lineage: Eukaryota; Metazoa; Chordata; Lepidosauria; Squamata; Elapidae. The record is from RNAcentral.